UGCUUGUCCUUCUUCCUGUGCGAACCACAGCCAGUGGGAGCUGCAGGGGUAGCGCCUGCGGACAGGGCAGCAUGCAGCACCACCUGGCCGUGCCUCCCCAUAGGAGCCGGAAAAGGGACAUGCUGAUGCUUCUGUGAGCUGCUUGAGGCAAGUGCCGCCUGGAGCCUGCACCCAACCCUCUCCCCGUGCCCCAAUUCCCUGCCCCAGAUCUGAUCCCUC
This is a long non-coding RNA of Dermochelys coriacea (leatherback sea turtle), 219 nucleotides long. RefSeq lists it as uncharacterized. The record is from RefSeq and is a predicted model, not a curated record. The transcript has 3 exons. Lineage: Eukaryota; Metazoa; Chordata; Testudines; Dermochelyidae.